GAAAAAAAUAAGUGGGCAUUAUUGUGUAAUGAUGCGGAUAUAAAUGAGGUUAUUCUCACGACUGAUUCUUCUUCUUUGGACUUGUAUAUUGACUGUGAUGUUGAUAGCAGUGUCAAGCCGGUGAAGCAAAUGCAACCUCAUGUUAUUGUAAGGCCAAAAACAUGCCCUGUUAAGGCUAUGCAGAGGAUUCCUAAAAAGCGUCAAUUUGUGACUAUAAAGGAAAUCAAUCAGGAGAAGGAACGAAGGUUGAACAAGUCUCGGAAGGAAAAACAAAUAAGUUCUACUUCUGUAAUUCCAACAAAAAAGGCUGGUGAAGAUUUGAAGUCAACAGAGCGGGAAGAUGCAAUUUCAAC
Molecule: long non-coding RNA, 353 nt
Filed under: Daucus carota (carrot)
Lineage: Eukaryota; Viridiplantae; Streptophyta; Magnoliopsida; Apiales; Apiaceae
Description: long non-coding RNA (DCAR_LNC002799)
Source: RNAcentral